UACGGGGGGGGGCAAGCGUUGUUCGGAAUUACUGGGCGUAAAGGGCUCGUAGGCGGCCAACUAAGUCGGAUGUGAAAUCCCCAGGCUUAACCUGGGAACUGCAUCCGAUACUGGAUGGCUUGAAUCCGGGAGAGGGAUGCAGAAUUCCAGGUGUAGCGGUGAAAUGCGUAGAUAUCUGGAGGAACACCGGUGGCGAAGGCGGGUCUCUGGGCCGAUACUGACGCUGAGGAGCGAAAGCAUGGGGUAGCGAACAGG
RNAcentral lists this ribosomal RNA (255 nucleotides) under uncultured bacterium. RNAcentral's name for it is "partial 16S ribosomal RNA". It matches the Rfam family "Bacterial small subunit ribosomal RNA", at positions 524 to 776 of the family's 1533-position model. The record is from RNAcentral.